This 562-nucleotide ribosomal RNA is filed under the name Hypoxylon haematostroma. RNAcentral's name for it is "eukaryotic LSU rRNA". It matches the Rfam family "Eukaryotic large subunit ribosomal RNA", at positions 62 to 648 of the family's 3401-position model. The record is from RNAcentral. Lineage: Eukaryota; Fungi; Ascomycota; Sordariomycetes; Xylariales; Hypoxylaceae.
AAACCAACAGGGAUUGCCCUAGUAACGGCGAGUGAAGCGGCAACAGCUCAAAUUUGAAAUCUGGCCCUCGCGGUCCGAGUUGUAAUUUGUAGAGGAUGCUUUUGGUGCGGUGCCUUCCGAGUUCCCUGGAACGGGACGCCGGAGAGGGUGAGAGCCCCGUACGGUUGGACGCCUAGCCUAUAUAUAGCUCCUUCGACGAGUCGAGUAGUUUGGGAAUGCUGCUCUAAAUGGGAGGUAAAUUUCUUCUAAAGCUAAAUACCGGCCAGAGACCGAUAGCGCACAAGUAGAGUGAUCGAAAGAUGAAAAGCACUUUGAAAAGAGGGUUAAAUAGCACGUGAAAUUGUUGAAAGGGAAGCGUUUGCGACCAGACUUUUUCCAGGGGAAUCAUCCGGUGUUCUCACCGGUGCACUUCCCCUGGUUUAGGCCAGCGUCGGUUCUCUUAGGGGGAUAAAGGCUUGGGGAACGUAGCUCUUUCGGGAGUGUUAUAGCCCCUCGCGUAAUACCCUUCGGGGGACCGAGGAUCGCGCUCUGCAAGGACGCUGGCGUAAUGGUCGUCAACGAC